CUGAAAAUCUGUUUUAGCAGAAAUUUUUUGUGCAAAUUUUUAUACUAAUUUAAUACCUAAUUAUGUAUAGAUUUAAAUCUACUUUGAUAGAUUUCUUGUGAUAUAAUUCAAUUAAAGAAUUGAUGUUUGAAUCAGGCUCAUAUCUGAAUUUAUUUGAUAAAGUUUCAGAUCUAAUUUCAGCAUAAUAUUUGUGUAUGUUUAAUCACAUCUCUAACUAGAAUUUUUCUAUGCAAUCAUACAUAUAUUUGGAAUAGAUUUCUAUAUUAUUUUAGAUC
This 275-nucleotide long non-coding RNA is filed under the name Elaeis guineensis (African oil palm). Its description in RNAcentral is "long non-coding RNA (EGUI_LNC017074)". The record is from RNAcentral. Lineage: Eukaryota; Viridiplantae; Streptophyta; Magnoliopsida; Arecales; Arecaceae.